CUCCACCUAAGGACAUUGGUGAGGUAGAAAAACUUGUAUCAGAAGGCAAAGUAGCUGUUGUCUUUGUCGAGCCCAUACAUGGCAAUGGAGGGAUAAAAAGCUUUACGCCACAAUACCUGCGGUCUUUACGGACUGCUUGCGAUAAAUCUGGAGUAUUACUUGCAUUCGAUGAGGUAAAUGCUAACUACAAUUUAUAUAUAAAACUAACUACUGCGAAUACGAUAAUGUUUAUUGAUAUCACCUUGCUUGCAGGUUCAAUGUGGCAUAGGUCAAACGGGCCGGCUUUGGGCCCACCAAGCACUCGGUGUAGAGCCGGAUUUUAUGAUUGUGCGAUUCCGUGGUAUGGACAUCG
This 352-nucleotide long non-coding RNA is filed under the name Lactuca sativa (garden lettuce). RNAcentral's name for it is "long non-coding RNA (LSAT_LNC004833)". Lineage: Eukaryota; Viridiplantae; Streptophyta; Magnoliopsida; Asterales; Asteraceae. The record is from RNAcentral.